Marasmius tenuissimus is the source of this 105-nucleotide non-coding RNA. The record is from the annotation of a GenBank genome assembly. Lineage: Eukaryota; Fungi; Basidiomycota; Agaricomycetes; Agaricales; Marasmiaceae.
ACACCGUUGGUGAAGUGGUUAUCAUGCUUGCCUUCCAUUUGCUCGGUCAGACUGUAUAUAUGGCACUUUGAGCAAGCGGCUCGGGUUCGAUUCCCGAACGGUGUA